This 1346-nucleotide ribosomal RNA is filed under the name Nocardia cyriacigeorgica. RNAcentral's name for it is "bacterial SSU rRNA". It matches the Rfam family "Bacterial small subunit ribosomal RNA", at positions 74 to 1434 of the family's 1533-position model. The record is from RNAcentral. Lineage: Bacteria; Bacillati; Actinomycetota; Actinomycetes; Mycobacteriales; Nocardiaceae.
GGCCCAUUCGGGGUACACGAGCGGCGAACGGGUGAGUAACACGUGGGUGAUCUGCCUCGCACUCUGGGAUAAGCCUGGGAAACUGGGUCUAAUACCGGAUAUGACCUUACAUCGCAUGGUGUUUGGUGGAAAGAUUUAUCGGUGCGAGAUGGGCCCGCGGCCUAUCAGCUUGUUGGUGGGGUAAUGGCCUACCAAGGCGACGACGGGUAGCCGGCCUGAGAGGGCGACCGGCCACACUGGGACUGAGACACGGCCCAGACUCCUACGGGAGGCAGCAGUGGGGAAUAUUGCACAAUGGGCGAAAGCCUGAUGCAGCGACGCCGCGUGAGGGAUGACGGCCUUCGGGUUGUAAACCUCUUUCGACAGGGACGAAGCGCAAGUGACGGUACCUGUAGAAGAAGCACCGGCCAACUACGUGCCAGCAGCCGCGGUAAUACGUAGGGUGCGAGCGUUGUCCGGAAUUACUGGGCGUAAAGAGCUUGUAGGCGGCUUGUCGCGUCGAUCGUGAAAACUUGGGGCUCAACCCCAAGCUUGCGGUCGAUACGGGCAGGCUUGAGUACUUCAGGGGAGACUGGAAUUCCUGGUGUAGCGGUGAAAUGCGCAGAUAUCAGGAGGAACACCGGUGGCGAAGGCGGGUCUCUGGGAAGUAACUGACGCUGAGAAGCGAAAGCGUGGGUAGCGAACAGGAUUAGAUACCCUGGUAGUCCACGCCGUAAACGGUGGGUACUAGGUGUGGGUUUCCUUCCACGGGAUCCGUGCCGUAGCUAACGCAUUAAGUACCCCGCCUGGGGAGUACGGCCGCAAGGCUAAAACUCAAAGGAAUUGACGGGGGCCCGCACAAGCGGCGGAGCAUGUGGAUUAAUUCGAUGCAACGCGAAGAACCUUACCUGGGUUUGACAUACACCGGAAACCUGCAGAGAUGUAGGCCCCCUUGUGGUCGGUGUACAGGUGGUGCAUGGCUGUCGUCAGCUCGUGUCGUGAGAUGUUGGGUUAAGUCCCGCAACGAGCGCAACCCUUAUCUUAUGUUGCCAGCGCGUAAUGGCGGGGACUCGUGAGAGACUGCCGGGGUCAACUCGGAGGAAGGUGGGGACGACGUCAAGUCAUCAUGCCCCUUAUGUCCAGGGCUUCACACAUGCUACAAUGGCCGGUACAGAGGGCUGCGAUACCGUGAGGUGGAGCGAAUCCCUUAAAGCCGGUCUCAGUUCGGAUCGGGGUCUGCAACUCGACCCCGUGAAGUUGGAGUCGCUAGUAAUCGCAGAUCAGCAACGCUGCGGUGAAUACGUUCCCGGGCCUUGUACACACCGCCCGUCACGUCAUGAAAGUCGGUAACACCCGAAGCCGGUGGC